UAGUGAUGAUCUACUCAUGAUGAGUUGGCAAUUACGAUUUCUUUCAAAAAUUUUUCUGCUCCGAGCGCGUUUCUUAUAUGUUUUAACUGAGAAAAAUGACGGGUACAUGUUGAUGUUACUUUAUAAUAAAACAUUUACUUGAAAUCUUGGAUAGUGGAUCCCAUCAUAGUAUUCAAUUAAGAUCGCAAUAUUUUCCAAUGUGACAAUUCUUCAAUUAAUGACAUAACAUUCAAGCGGAACUACCAGCGAAGGGUAAGAUAUGCUACCGAAAGUGAUGCAAAGUCAGGGAUCCUAUGAUAAGGUUAGGAUUAUUGUCUGCAAGGAUGAAUCUGAUGCGAAGUCACGGCAGCUCUAGGAAAAGUCACGUGCGAGCGCCUCUGGCGCAACAAAAAGAAGCCCAAGGAGGUGAGUUCUAAGUUAACGAACAAACUCGAUCCGAAAUCCGGAUGUAAGUAUAAUUAUGUAUUUUCUAAGUACGCAUGCCAUGUGGAAUUAUCAUAAACAGUUAUAAAUGAUAAUCGGUAACCAUGAUAUUUAAUCAAUGAAUUUGUUGUCAAAACUGUUUUGCACGAUCAAAACAUUUAUUUCGCCGCUCCAAAAUUCACACUACGGAGAACCGCAAAGAAAGAUGCAUGACAUUAUUAAAAUUCCUUACGGAACGCCACAAAACUCCGAAGAUUAUAAGAAUAUCAAGAUAGAAUGCGUGCGCCAACUGGAAAGAAUAUGCAUUGAACAGGAAAUGGAUAGAGAGUACUAGAUUUUACAGACACUAAAAUUUGCAGACGAUCAAUAACUACAUAUUUAUGACAGUUUAAAAUCUCGACGAAAAAAUAAGUAUUAUUUCCGAACUAAAUAUAACACAAUUUCAGGAGUCAAAGUCGUCGCAGAUCGGCGAUCUGCGGACGAUCCCGCGAACAGCUGCACGUCAAUACGAAAAAGUCUAUAUAAGAAUGUCGCGAAUUUCAUAAAUAGCCAUUAGUUAUUUCAUUACUUCAUGACGGACUAUAAGAUAUAAGUACCUAAGAUUACUGGGUACAGCUAACACUCAAGAGAUACAUGUAAGAAAGGGAAGGAGAACAAAACGUUCAUCAGACGCACAUUGUCAACAGUAACAGCAUUUAUGUACAAUUCAAAUGACAAAUAAAAAUAUAGUGGAAGUGGAUUGGAUUAGGGCUCU
Long non-coding RNA from Bombus huntii, 1177 nucleotides. RefSeq lists it as uncharacterized. Lineage: Eukaryota; Metazoa; Arthropoda; Insecta; Hymenoptera; Apidae. The record is from RefSeq and is a predicted model, not a curated record. The transcript is spliced from 3 exons.